AGUGUCUUGCGUCUUCGACUAUAUACUUUGUCAGAAAAGAAACGUUCUGGACCAGCUCAUUGGCAGUCAAACUCAAGUGUCUUGCGUCUUCGACUAUAUACUUUGUCAGAAAAGAAACGUCCUGGACCAGCUCAUUGGCAGUCAAACUCAAG
This is a long non-coding RNA of Neodiprion fabricii, 152 nucleotides long. RefSeq lists it as uncharacterized. Lineage: Eukaryota; Metazoa; Arthropoda; Insecta; Hymenoptera; Diprionidae. The record is from RefSeq and is a predicted model, not a curated record. The transcript is spliced from 3 exons.